CAUUUUAUUCCUAGGGCAAGAAUACCAGGUGGAUAGGGUUCAAGAUCGUCCCAUACUUGAGCUCGUUCGAACUGAUGUAGUUCAUCAAACAUGGCAUGAGACCAUCCUUUAUCAUUUAAGGCUUUUUUUACAUUCUUAGGCUCUAUUUUUUAAAGAAGACUCUGAUGAAGUACAUGAUUUAUAGAUGGAGCACUCUUAGAACGAGUUCUACGUCCUUCUGUGACAUUCCAUAUCACUUGAGUAAUUGAAUGUCUAGACGUUAUUACUCUAGAAUGAAUUAAUUCAAUUGGCUCAUUCUCAGGUUAUCAAGCCGAGAGUAAUUCGUCCAGAUCAGAUUGCCUACCUUUUGUAUUUAU
Molecule: long non-coding RNA, 356 nt
Filed under: Linum usitatissimum (flax)
Lineage: Eukaryota; Viridiplantae; Streptophyta; Magnoliopsida; Malpighiales; Linaceae
Description: long non-coding RNA (LUSI_LNC001243)
Source: RNAcentral